CUCAUCUCAAUAUUCAAUGAUAUAUGUAUGUAAAUAUAUAUGUAUAUAUAUAUGCACAUGUGAUGUUCUCUAUUAAUUCUACUAAUAUUAAUCUCUAUCUAAAGAAAUGAGGCUACUUUCUUAAAACAUUUGUGAAAGGGAAUUUUUAUUCCCUUUGUCCUUUUUAAGUUAAUCAAUCAAGAACUUGUAUGCCUACUUAACACUUAGUAGGUCACUAACAGGUCACUAACACGAAGGUUCGUGCCCUAGCAAGUCACAAGCACUACCCACCCCACUGGGCAAAUUGAAAGGCUGUGACUGAUUUCCUGAGAUGUGAUGAGGAGAGACAGGAAGUGAUGUGGAGAAAGCUGCUUAUAAAAGCCACCCAAAGGCAUUCUGAUUCAUUCUGCUGCCCUAGUGGCUCUUACUGACAGAGGACUUCUGCGUUGGUGUCUCUGUGUUGGACUACUUCUGCAUUAGGGGGAUUCUUCUGCCUUGGACUUCUGCAUUGGAGAUUGAUUCUGCACUGAAACCAAUUUCAGCCUUUCAAUUUGCCCAGCACUGCCCAAGGUGGGAGACAGUGGCCUUUGGAGGUGUGAGCUUACUCUAGUAAGUGACUUGUGAACUCUCAUACUUAAUAGUAAGUAAGGGUACUUUAAGUUGUUGAUUUGAUUAGCUAAAAAUAGACAAGGGGAGAGUUUAUCCUAUCUUAAUUAUUUUCCCCUGUGAUUCUUUGGGAGACUAGUCUCCCCCAAAGAAUCAUUUAACAUAACUAGCUUAUACCUCUAAAGAUCUUCUAACUCAAGGAGCAUAUAAUAUUGCACAUCCUAAGAGGAAACUAAAAUAGUUGGAGAUAAAAGGGAAAUAGAAGAAAGUGAGCAAAACCAAUGUUUGCUAGGUGCAUUGACAAAAAGCCAAUUGGGGGCAAUCGCCUUUGGCAUA
This 921-nucleotide long non-coding RNA is filed under the name Monodelphis domestica (gray short-tailed opossum). Its description in RNAcentral is "lncRNA (ENSMODG00000045483.1)". Lineage: Eukaryota; Metazoa; Chordata; Mammalia; Didelphimorphia; Didelphidae. The record is from RNAcentral.